UAAGACAGAGGGUGCAAACGUUGUUCGGAUUUACUGGGCGUAAAGCGCGUGUAGGCGGCUUGGCAAGUCGGAUGUGAAAGCCCACGGCUCAACCGUGGAAGCGCAUCCGAAACUGCUUCGCUCGAGUCUCGGAGAGGAAGGUGGAAUGCUUGGUGUAGAGGUGAAAUUCGUAGAUAUCAAGCAGAACACCUGCGGCGAAGGCGGCCUUCUGGACGAUGACUGACGCUGAGACGCGAAAGCGUGGGGAGCAAACAGGAUUAGAUACCCUGGUAGUCCACGCCGUAAACGAUGAGUGCUAGGUGUCACGGGCUUUGACCCUCGUGGUGCCGUAGCUAACGCAAUAAGCACUCCGCCUGGGGAGUACGGUCGCAAGACUA
This 377-nucleotide ribosomal RNA is filed under the name uncultured bacterium. Its description in RNAcentral is "bacterial SSU rRNA". It matches the Rfam family "Bacterial small subunit ribosomal RNA", at positions 521 to 896 of the family's 1533-position model. The record is from RNAcentral.